GACGAACGCUGGCGGCGUGCUUAACACAUGCAAGUCGAGCGGUAAGGCCCUUUCGGGGGUACACGAGCGGCGAACGGGUGAGUAACACGUGGGUGACCUGCCCUCAGCUCUGGGAUAAGCCCUGGGAAACCGGGUCUAAUACUGGAUAUGACUCCAUGACGCAUGUUGUGGGGUGGAAAGCCUUGUGCGGCUGAGGAUGGGCCCGCGGCCUAUCAGCUUGUUGGUGGGGUGAGGCCUACCAAGGCGACGACGGGUAGCCGGCCUGAGAGGGCGACCGGCCACACUGGGACUGAGACACGGCCCAGACUCCUACGGGAGGCAGCAGUGGGGAAUCUUGCGCAAUGGGCGAAAGCCUGACGCAGCGACGCCGCGUGAGGGAUGACGGCCU
This 388-nucleotide ribosomal RNA is filed under the name uncultured bacterium. Its description in RNAcentral is "bacterial SSU rRNA". It matches the Rfam family "Bacterial small subunit ribosomal RNA", at positions 28 to 417 of the family's 1533-position model. The record is from RNAcentral.